GAUGAACGCUGGCGGCGUGCCUAAUACAUGCAAGUCGAGCGAACGGACGAGAAGCUUGCUUCUCUGAUGUUAGCGGCGGACGGGUGAGUAACACGUGGAUAACCUACCUAUAAGACUGGGAUAACUUCGGGAAACCGGAGCUAAUACCGGAUGAUAUUUUGAACCGCAUGGUUCAAAAGUGAAAGACGGUCUUGCUGUCACUUAUAGAUGGAUCCGCGCUGCAUUAGCUAGUUGGUAAGGUAACGGCUUACCAAGGCAACGAUGCAUAGCCGACCUGAGAGGGUGAUCGGCCACACUGGAACUGAGACACGGUCCAGACUCCUACGGGAGGCAGCAGUGGGGAAUCUUCCGCAAUGGGCGAAAGCCUGACGGAGCAACGCCGCGUGAGUGACGAAGGUCUUCGGAUCGUAAAACUCUGUUAUUAGGGAAGAACAUAUGUGUAAGUAACUGUGCACAUCUUGACGGUACCUAAUCAGAAAGCCACGGCUAACUACGUG
Molecule: ribosomal RNA, 497 nt
Filed under: uncultured bacterium
Lineage: Bacteria
Description: partial 16S ribosomal RNA
Rfam family: Bacterial small subunit ribosomal RNA
Source: RNAcentral